RNAcentral lists this ribosomal RNA (2891 nucleotides) under Vibrio parahaemolyticus. RNAcentral's name for it is "bacterial LSU rRNA". It matches the Rfam family "Bacterial large subunit ribosomal RNA". The record is from RNAcentral. Lineage: Bacteria; Pseudomonadati; Pseudomonadota; Gammaproteobacteria; Vibrionales; Vibrionaceae.
GGUUAAGUGACUAAGCGUACACGGUGGAUGCCUUGGCAGUCAGAGGCGAUGAAAGACGUAGUAACUUGCGAUAAGCCCAGAUUAGGUAGUAACAACCAUUUGAGUCUGGGAUUUCUGAAUGGGGAAACCCACGUGCAUAAGCACGUAUCCUUACCUGAAUACAUAGGGUAAGGAGGCGAACCGGGGGAACUGAAACAUCUAAGUACCCCGAGGAAAAGAAAUCAACCGAGAUUCCGAAAGUAGCGGCGAGCGAAAUUGGACUAGCCCUUAAGCUUUACACGCGUUAGACGAACGGUCUGGAAAGUCCGACGAUACAGGGUGAUAGUCCCGUAGUUGACGACGUGUGUUCAGUGAAAUCGAGUAGGGCGGGACACGUGAUAUCCUGUCUGAAUAUGGGGGGACCAUCCUCCAAGGCUAAAUACUACUGACUGACCGAUAGUGAACCAGUACCGUGAGGGAAAGGCGAAAAGAACCCCUGUGAGGGGAGUGAAAUAGAACCUGAAACCGUGUACGUACAAGCAGUAGGAGCAGGCUUUGUCCUGUGACUGCGUACCUUUUGUAUAAUGGGUCAGCGACUUAUAUUCAGUGGCAAGGUUAACCAUCUAGGGGAGCCGUAGGGAAACCGAGUCUUAACUGGGCGUUCAGUCUCUGGAUAUAGACCCGAAACCAGGUGAUCUAGCCAUGGGCAGGUUGAAGGUUGAGUAACAUCAACUGGAGGACCGAACCGACUAAUGUUGAAAAAUUAGCGGAUGACUUGUGGCUAGGGGUGAAAGGCCAAUCAAACCUGGAGAUAGCUGGUUCUCCCCGAAAGCUAUUUAGGUAGCGCCUCGGACGAAUACUACUGGGGGUAGAGCACUGUUAAGGCUAGGGGGUCAUCCCGACUUACCAACCCUUUGCAAACUCCGAAUACCAGUAAGUACUAUCCGGGAGACACACGGCGGGUGCUAACGUCCGUCGUGGAGAGGGAAACAACCCAGACCGCCAGCUAAGGUCCCAAAUUACUACUAAGUGGGAAACGAUGUGGGAAGGCUCAGACAGCCAGGAUGUUGGCUUAGAAGCAGCCAUCAUUUAAAGAAAGCGUAAUAGCUCACUGGUCGAGUCGGCCUGCGCGGAAGAUGUAACGGGGCUAAGUAGUAAACCGAAGCUGCGGCAAUGUGCUUUUGCACAUUGGGUAGGGGAGCGUUCUGUAAGCGGUUGAAGGUGUGUGGUAACGCAUGCUGGACGUAUCAGAAGUGCGAAUGCUGACAUGAGUAACGAUAAAGGGGGUGAAAAACCUCCUCGCCGGAAGACCAAGGGUUCCUGUCCAACGUUAAUCGGGGCAGGGUAAGUCGACCCCUAAGGCGAGGCCGAAAGGCGUAGUCGAUGGGAAACGGGUUAAUAUUCCCGUACUUCUUACAAUUGCGAUGGGGGGACGGAGAAGGCUAGGUGGGCCUGGCGACGGUUGUCCAGGUUCAAGUGCGUAGGCUUAAGAGUUAGGUAAAUCCGGCUCUUUUUAAGGCUGAGACACGACGUCGAGCACCUACGGGUGUGAAGUCAUUGAUGCCAUGCUUCCAGGAAAAGCCUCUAAGCUUCAGAUUGUAAGGAAUCGUACCCCAAACCGACACAGGUGGUCGGGUAGAGAAUACCAAGGCGCUUGAGAGAACUCGGGUGAAGGAACUAGGCAAAAUGGUACCGUAACUUCGGGAGAAGGUACGCUCUCGACGGUGAAGUCCCUUGCGGAUGGAGCUAUUGAGAGUCGCAGAUACCAGGUGGCUGCAACUGUUUAUUAAAAACACAGCACUGUGCAAAAUCGUAAGAUGACGUAUACGGUGUGACGCCUGCCCGGUGCCGGAAGGUUAAUUGAUGGGGUUAGACUUCGGUCGAAGCUCUUGAUCGAAGCCCCGGUAAACGGCGGCCGUAACUAUAACGGUCCUAAGGUAGCGAAAUUCCUUGUCGGGUAAGUUCCGACCUGCACGAAUGGCGUAAUGAUGGCCACGCUGUCUCCACCCGAGACUCAGUGAAAUUGAAAUCGCUGUGAAGAUGCAGUGUACCCGCGGCUAGACGGAAAGACCCCGUGAACCUUUACUACAGCUUGGCACUGAACAUUGACCCUACAUGUGUAGGAUAGGUGGGAGGCUUUGAAGCACGUACGCCAGUAUGUGUGGAGCCGUCCUUGAAAUACCACCCUUGUAGUGUUGAUGUUCUAACGUCGACCCCUAAUCGGGGUUGCGGACAGUGCCUGGUGGGUAGUUUGACUGGGGCGGUCUCCUCCCAAAGAGUAACGGAGGAGCACGAAGGUGGGCUAAUCACGGUUGGACAUCGUGAGGUUAGUGCAAUGGCAUAAGCCCGCUUGACUGCGAGAAUGACAAUUCGAGCAGGUGCGAAAGCAGGUCAUAGUGAUCCGGUGGUUCUGAAUGGAAGGGCCAUCGCUCAACGGAUAAAAGGUACUCCGGGGAUAACAGGCUGAUACCGCCCAAGAGUUCAUAUCGACGGCGGUGUUUGGCACCUCGAUGUCGGCUCAUCACAUCCUGGGGCUGAAGUCGGUCCCAAGGGUAUGGCUGUUCGCCAUUUAAAGUGGUACGCGAGCUGGGUUUAGAACGUCGUGAGACAGUUCGGUCCCUAUCUGCCGUGGGCGUUGGAAGAUUGAAGGGGGCUGCUCCUAGUACGAGAGGACCGGAGUGGACGAACCUCUGGUGUUCGGGUUGUGUCGCCAGACGCAUUGCCCGGUAGCUAAGUUCGGAAUCGAUAACCGCUGAAAGCAUCUAAGCGGGAAGCGAGCCCUGAGAUGAGUCUUCCCUGAUACUUUAAGUAUCCUAAAGGGUUGUCGGAGACUACGACGUUGAUAGGUCAGGUGUGUAAGUGCUGUGAGGCAUUGAGCUAACUGAUACUAAUUGCCCGUGAGGCUUAACCAU